RNAcentral lists this transfer RNA (60 nucleotides) under Salmonella enterica subsp. enterica serovar Enteritidis str. SA20085285. RNAcentral describes it as "tRNA-Und (NNN) (tRNA-Und-NNN-2-1)". It matches the Rfam family "tRNA", at positions 15 to 71 of the family's 71-position model. Rfam says of the family: Transfer RNA (tRNA) molecules are approximately 80 nucleotides in length. The record is from RNAcentral. Lineage: Bacteria; Pseudomonadati; Pseudomonadota; Gammaproteobacteria; Enterobacterales; Enterobacteriaceae.
AUGGUAGAACGAGAGCUUCCCAAGCUCUAUACGAGGGUUCGAUUCCCUUCGCCCGCUCCA